GACGAACGCUGGCGGCGUGCCUAAUACAUGCAAGUCGAACGAGAGCGACCGGUGCUUGCACUGGUCAAUCUAGUGGCGAACGGGUGAGUAACACGUGGGUAACCUGCCCAUCAGAGGGGGAUAACAUUCGGAAACGGAUGCUAAAACCGCAUAGGUCUUCGAACCGCAUGGUUUGAAGAGGAAAAGCGGCGCAAGCUUCUGCUGAUGGAUGGACCCGCGGUGCAUUAGCUAGUUGGUGAGGUAACGGCUCACCAAGGCCGUGAUGCAUAGCCGACCUGAGAGGGUGAUCGGCCACAUUGGGACUGAGACACGGCCCAAACUCCUACGGGAGGCAGCAGUAGGGAAUCUUCCGCAAUGGGCGCAAGUCUGACGGAGCAACGCCGCGUGAGUGAAGAAGGUUUUCGGAUCGUAAAACUCUGUUGUUAGGGAAGAAUAAGUGCUAGAGUAACUGUUAGCGCCUUGACGGUAUCUAACCAGAAAGCCACGGCUAACUACGUG
RNAcentral lists this ribosomal RNA (498 nucleotides) under uncultured bacterium. RNAcentral's name for it is "partial 16S ribosomal RNA". It matches the Rfam family "Bacterial small subunit ribosomal RNA", at positions 28 to 507 of the family's 1533-position model. The record is from RNAcentral.